CCUACGGGAGGCAGCAGUGAGGAAUAUUGGUCAAUGGGCGAGAGCCUGAACCAGCCAAGUCGCGUGAGGGAGUACUGCCCUAUGGGUUGUAAACCUCUUUUGUCGGGGAGCAAAAGCCGGACGUGUCCGGCUGUGAGAGUACCCGAAGAAAAAGCAUCGGCUAACUCCGUGCCAGCAGCCGCGGUAAUACGGAGGAUGCGAGCGUUAUCCGGAUUUAUUGGGUUUAACGGGUGCGCAGGCGGAUUUUUAAGUCAGCGGGAAAAUCGUGGGGCUCAACCCCAUCCAGCCGUUGAAACUGGGGAUCUAGAGUGUGCGAGAGGUAUGCGGAAUGCGUGGUGUAGCGGUGAAAUGCAUAGAUAUCACGCAGAAUCCCGAUGGCGAAGGCAGCAUACCGGUGCACAACUGACGCUCAGGCACGAAAGCGUGGGUAUCGAACAGGAUUAGAUACCCGGGUAGUC
This 458-nucleotide ribosomal RNA is filed under the name uncultured bacterium. RNAcentral describes it as "partial 16S ribosomal RNA". It matches the Rfam family "Bacterial small subunit ribosomal RNA", at positions 338 to 795 of the family's 1533-position model. The record is from RNAcentral.